Cinara cedri is the source of this 232-nucleotide non-coding RNA. The record is from the annotation of a GenBank genome assembly. NCBI's taxonomy places the organism in Eukaryota, Metazoa, Arthropoda, Insecta, Hemiptera, Aphididae.
AAAAUCAAUAAAAUAUUAAACAAAUAUUAUUGAAGAAAAUACAUAAUGCCUAUUUAAUUAUUUUACCAUAACAUGACAUAUAUUGUUGACAAAGCAUUACUAUCAACUGAACUGCGCUCAGAAUCGUUUUUUCGUCAGCAAUGGUUUAUCGUUGUUUACAGAUAUGCAUUAAAUUACCUUUAACAGUAGCUGCACCCGUUUCCAUUAUCCUAGGACGUCUUUUAAUUAGAAA